RNAcentral lists this transfer RNA (76 nucleotides) under Pedobacter cryophilus. It matches the Rfam family "tRNA". Rfam says of the family: Transfer RNA (tRNA) molecules are approximately 80 nucleotides in length. Their secondary structure includes four short double-helical elements and three loops (D, anti-codon, and T loops). The record is from Rfam by way of RNAcentral. Lineage: Bacteria; Pseudomonadati; Bacteroidota; Sphingobacteriia; Sphingobacteriales; Sphingobacteriaceae.
GGUUUUUUAGCUCAGCUGGAUAGAGCAUCCCGACGUCAAGUCGGGAAGGUCUCAGGUUCGAAUCCUGAUGCGACCA